Long non-coding RNA from Choloepus didactylus (southern two-toed sloth), 350 nucleotides. RefSeq lists it as uncharacterized. The transcript is spliced from 3 exons. The record is from RefSeq and is a predicted model, not a curated record. Lineage: Eukaryota; Metazoa; Chordata; Mammalia; Pilosa; Megalonychidae.
CUUAAGCUUCCUUCUCCGGAGACUCAUCUCGCAGAACUCACAAGGGCAAAUUCUCCAUGGCCCCUGAUGGGUGCGCGUGUCAAUUGUGUGUCCUGUAAUUCCCCUUUUCGACCAUUGACUGAACACCAGGACUGUAUAUGCUGAAAAGAAACCUGAGGCCCGGUAAAGGAAAAUGCCUUUACAAGGAAACACCAGUUAUGUGAGUAUGAAAACAAUAGCAUAAUGGCUGGAGUGCCAACAGCCGUCUUGGAUCAUGAGAGAACCUCAGGAAAGAAACCCACACAAGGCAAAGCAACAAGAUAGAAGCACUUGACUCUGCAGCACCAGAUCAACACCCAGCUGCCCGUUUC